Molecule: ribosomal RNA, 429 nt
Filed under: Chloroflexota bacterium
Lineage: Bacteria; Bacillati; Chloroflexota
Description: Chloroflexi bacterium partial 16S ribosomal RNA
Rfam family: Bacterial small subunit ribosomal RNA
Source: RNAcentral
UGGGGAAUAUUGCACAAUGGGCGCAAGCCUGAUGCAGCCAUGCCGCGUGUGUGAAGAAGGCCUUCGGGUUGUAAAGCACUUUCAGCGGGGAGGAAGGCGGUGAGGUUAAUAACCUCAUCGAUUGACGUUACCCGCAGAAGAAGUACCGGCUAACUCCGUGCCAGCAGCCGCGGUAAUACGGAGGGUGCAAGCGUUAAUCGGAAUUACUGGGCGUAAAGCGCACGCAGGCGGUCUGUCAAGUCGGAUGUGAAAUCCCCGGGCUCAACCUGGGAACUGCAUUCGAAACUGGCAGGCUAGAGUCUUGUAGAGGGGGGUAGAAUUCCAGGUGUAGCGGUGAAAUGCGUAGAGAUCUGGAGGAAUACCGGUGGCGAAGGCGGCCCCCUGGACAAAGACUGACGCUCAGGUGCGAAAGCGUGGGGAGCAAACAGG